UACGGGGGGAGCAAGCGUUGUUCGGAUUUACUGGGCGUAAAGGGCGCGUAGGCGGCCACCGCAAGUCGACUGUGAAAUCUCCGGGCUUAACCCGGAAAGGUCAGCCGAUACUGCGGGGCUAGAGUGCAGAAGGGGCAACUGGAAUUCUCGGUGUAGCGGUGAAAUGCGUAGAUAUUGGGAGGAACACCGGUGGCGAAGGCGGCCCCCUGGGCUGGUACUGACGCUGAUGCGCGAAAGCGUGGGUAGCAAACGGG
RNAcentral lists this ribosomal RNA (254 nucleotides) under uncultured bacterium. Its description in RNAcentral is "partial 16S ribosomal RNA". It matches the Rfam family "Bacterial small subunit ribosomal RNA", at positions 524 to 776 of the family's 1533-position model. The record is from RNAcentral.